UCAGCAGCCCGCGGUAAUUCCAGCUCCAAUAGCGUAUAUUAAAGUUGUUGCAGUUAAAAAGCUCGUAGUUGAACCUUGGGUCUGGCUGGCCGGUCCGCCUCACCGCGAGUACUGGUCCGGCUGGACCUUUCCUUCUGGGGAACCUCAUGGCCUUCACUGGCUGUGGGGGGAACCAGGACUUUUACUGUGAAAAAAUUAGAGUGUUCAAAGCAGGCCUUUGCUCGAAUACAUUAGCAUGGAAUAAUAGAAUAGGACGUGUGGUUCUAUUUUGUUGGUUUCUAGGACCGCCGUAAUGAUUAAUAGGGAUAGUCGGGGGCGUCAGUAUUCAGCUGUCAGAGGUGAAAUUCUUGGAUUUGCUGAAGACUAACUACUGCGAAAGCAUUCGCCAAGGAUGUUUUCAUUAAUCAGGGAACGAAAGUUAGGGGAUCGAAGACGAUCAGAUACCGUCGUAGUCUUAACCAUAAACUAUGCCGACUAGGGAUCGGACGGGCUUCUAUGAUGACCCGUUCGGCACCUUACGAGAAAUCAAAGUUUUUGGGUUCUGGGGGGAGUAUGGUCGCAAGGCUGAAACUUAAAGAAAUUGACGGAAGGGCACCACAAGGCGUGGAGCCUGCGGCUUAAUUUGACUCAAACACGGGA
RNAcentral lists this ribosomal RNA (639 nucleotides) under Penicillium sp. Its description in RNAcentral is "SSU rRNA". It matches the Rfam family "Eukaryotic small subunit ribosomal RNA", at positions 567 to 1210 of the family's 1831-position model. Lineage: Eukaryota; Fungi; Ascomycota; Eurotiomycetes; Eurotiales; Aspergillaceae. The record is from RNAcentral.